RNAcentral lists this unclassified non-coding RNA (2405 nucleotides) under Hevea brasiliensis (rubber tree). Lineage: Eukaryota; Viridiplantae; Streptophyta; Magnoliopsida; Malpighiales; Euphorbiaceae. The record is from RNAcentral.
GCUGAAGUCCCUAGCUUACCAAAAUAGCUUGAUCCAAACGCAAAAAGGACAUGGAAAUGGUUUUACACAACGCAAGAAACCAAGGGAUCAAUGUUUUCUUGCAUACACUUGCCUGGAUGCUUGCAAAAGAAACCCUUAAACUCCUAAAUUAGUCAAGUUAUAGGACAUGCUUCCACAGAUGGCAACCUAACCGCCAAACCACCAUUCACAAGCACUACAAGAAAGAAUCAAUCAAGGGUCAACAACUUCGUAUUUUUUUCAAUAAAUUGGAACAAACAAAUUGGAAUAAACAUUUAAUUGGGGUGUUUGAAGCUCGAGUUGUCAUGAAGUUCCACUAAAACCUUGGCUGUUUCUCUUCAUCUUUCCCAUUUCCAUUUCUCGCGUGUUCUGGCCUUCACUGCUUGAGCCAGAUGGAUACAAACCAUAUUCACUGGUUGGUCCACUGUAUUCACUACUGGCACCAUACUCUUGGCUUCCCAAUGCCAUCUUCCUGAAUUUUUUAAUGUCCUCAUUGUAUUGGUUGGUGUCGUAGUCUGAACUACCAUAGCUGUAGACACUGCUGUGACCAGGUCUAAUUCCUUCAUUAAGAUCAGAGAGAGCACCGUCUCCUUCAAGAGCUCGGACUACCUGACUCAUGCGUGGACGACGCCGUGCUGAAUGACGCACACAAGCAGCAGCACAAGCAACCAUACGAGCCAUCUCGUUGUGAUCAUAACUAUUUUGCAGUUUUGGAUCCACCAGAUUAUCAAAGUUGCCAUCUUCUAGAGCUCGUGUGAGUAAAGGCCUCGCCCAGUCUACCAAACUAUCCUCCAUGAAAGACUGAGCUGAAUCAACAGGCCUACGUCCAGUAAUCAACUCCAGAACCAUGACCCCAAAGGAGAACACAUCAGAUUUAUCUGUUAGUUUCCCACUUGAUGCAUACUCAGGAGCCAGAUACCCAAAGGUUCCCAUCACCCGGGUGGAGACAUGCGUAUUAGCAUCAGAAGAGAACUUUGCUAGUCCAAAAUCUGCAACCUUUGCCUCAAAUUUGUAAUCCAAAAGUAUAUUAGCUGCCUUGAUAUCACGAUGAAUGAUCUUAGGGUGGCAAUCUUCAUGAAGAUAUGCAAGUCCUUUUGCAGAUCCCAAAGCAAUUUUGAGUCUAGUAGGCCAAUCCAUUGUAGGUCGACCCUUUCCAUGUAAGUGAAACUCCAAAGUGUUGUUUGGAACAAACUCAUAAACAAGCAGUCUCUGAGACCCUGUAAUGCAAUAUCCAACCAAUGAAACAAGAUGUUUGUGAUGCACCCGACUAAUAAUUUCUAUUUCUGCCUGAAAUUCACGCUCUCCUUGCCCACUUCCAGCUUUUAGCUGCUUAACAGCCACUUCUUUCCCAUUAGGAAGGACUCCUCUGUGGACAUACCCAAAACCACCUUGACCAAGGAGGUUAGCAUUUGAGAAGCCAUCUGUUGCCCUCGCUAAUUCCUCAUAGGUGAAUGUGCUCUUUGAGAAACUCAAAGCCAUGCCUGGAGAGGGUGGUGGGAGAGGAUUUUCAGACCCAGAAUAAUUGGAGCCAGAGCCACCACUGCUGCUCAUGAAAGGCGGUGGAGGUGGCGGUGGAGGCAUUGAAACACGUUCAGGAGGAUGAGGGGGCCUUGAUGCAACUGGUGGUGGAGGAUUAGGCUUUGACAUUGAUGUGAAAACUCGAUCCGGUGGUUGGGGAGCAUUGUGCUGCCAAUGCUGCUGUUGGCCAGCAUAAGGACCAUCUUUAGGCCCAGGUGGAGGUGGAGGUGGAGGAACAUAGUAAGUAGCCUCAUCAUCAUCUCUCCUCCUCUUCUUCCUGCAACAAAGACACAACAAACUCAAAACUACCAGAAUUGCCACUCCUCCAAUAGCUAUCCCCACAACCAGCCCCGUCGAUAUCCCCGAGGAACUUGAUGGGGGCGCAUUAGCAGAGGACGGUGGCGGAGGACUCCUAGUCGCAGGCGUCGACGGGGUCCCAGAACUCGCAGGAGGAGACGGCGUGUUCGAAGGCGGAGAGGGAGUUGAUGACGAAGGCGGGGCAGGGGUAGAAGGGGUUGGUGGAGAGAGUGAAGGAGGCGGAGGAGAAGAGGAUGAGGUUGGUGGUGGUGAGGAAGCAGGAGGGGAUGGAGUGGAAGGUGGUGGAACUGAUGGGGCAGCUGGUGGGGGAGUUGCUGGAGUAGAUGGAGGUGGAGCAGCAGGAGUGGAGGGUGGAGGGGCAGAAGGGGUGGCUGGUGGAGGAGCGGUGGUAUUGGCAGACGGAGGAGGAGGCGCAGUGGUGUUAGCAGACGGCGGAGACGUGGGAGCAGGAGCUGACAUUGUGACGGAACGUCGGAACUACAAGAUUUAAUCUUAAAUUUUUGGUAUGUUAUAACAGAGAGAAUUUAGAGAGAGAGAGUUUCAGAGCGUGU